GCGCAUGCGCAACUUCGCGGCUGCUUACCCGCUUUUCUCUCUCCUAUAUAACACAUCUACUAUGCCAAUUCGCGCUCAUUGCUCAUUGCUUUUCCGUGAUUUCCACGCUGUGCCCCUCAGACUUUUCAUAUGUCAUGAAUGUUUUUUUCCGCGAGAACAUUGAAACUUUUUUUUUCACCUGUUUACUGCGGUUAGUGACAUCGGAAACUGCUUUUUACAUUAACGGAAGAUAACUUAACCUCUUUUUUUUAUACCUGCUGCAUUUUCAAAUAUUUCACUCAUUUGUUUUUUUUUACAUUCUAUAGAAUAUAUACAUAUGUAUAUAAUAGGAAAUCAGGAGUAGAAUGAAUGGAAUGAAUCAAGAUUAGGUUACAAUCAUUUAUUUUGAUAUUAUUAAUGAAUUAAUGAACUCGAAGUAUAUGGUGAAAGUUCUUGUAUUAAAAAAAGGAAUGUUUACCAUAAUGAACAUAUUGUCUAAAAAAGUAAAAUGACUUUUGACAAAUAUUGCAGAUUUUGAUUAAAUUUUCUCGGUUCUUUUUUGGGUCAAGAAUGAAAUUUUUAAAAUACAAUUACAAUCGAGGCAUAAUUUUAUUAUGUCAUUGAAAAUAAAAUGGUACAAUUUUUAAACAUUAUAAGUACGAAUGUUACGAGAGAAAAUUUUGCACAAAGCUGGGAAAAUGAAUAACACAUUUUGUACAUGACCUGCGUUAUAAACAGUAGCGUAUUUUAUGGAAAUCGCAUAAAUCGUAAAAACAUUAAUUAGUAAAUGAAAAGAAGACUUUUAAAACUGUUUUACAUCCAUUUUAAUGUGAUACUCAUUUUGUUCUUUUGUAUUGUAAAGUCAAAUAACAGAGAUAAUGUUGGAGAAGUGUAAUUCAAUUUGUAGAACGAGGAGAAGGGAAGCAAUUACAAUUGUUUGGAUUAACAACAGAACGGAUAAUUCCGAUUUAUAUUGAAUAAAUCGAAAUGGAUCGAAAUGGAAAGUCAACCGAGUCGCCUGAAAAAUGGAUUUAAAAUAUAAUUUAUCACGUAUUACAAUCAAUUUGUUUGGAAAUUAUUAAUUUUCAACUUUAAUGAAACGAAUUAACUAUAAGAAGAACAGUAUUAAAAAAACUAAAUUGUUCUUAAAAUUUAAUAUUCUAUAAUCAAUGAAAUUGAAUGAACCAAUUUACAUACUAAAGUAGAAAAGUCAAGGGAGUCAUAAAUUAAGAGGUGGUUCGUUGUAAAUACGAUGAAAGUGUGGUCAAGUGGAAAAUUGUCGAUGUUCCGUAAGACUGAACCGAUCUCCGAUCCUUCUUGUUCGCGACUUCAGAGAGAAAUGAAGCUCCAAGCCAACUUUAGCAAAUAUGUUUCAAUAACAAAGUCGAAGAAAUUGUUACAAAGAACGUAAUUGUUUGUUAGAAUUUGGUUUUGAAUUGCAAAAUGAAUAUGAGGGACAUUAAUGAAUCAUACAGACAUGAGAAAAGUGACGAUAAAUGUUACGAUGAUCAAAAUUGAUGGCUUCAAUCAAAGCAGAAGUUCAAAAAAAGAAGGCAAAUAAAAAUUUCGAUGGCAGUUGAAAAGGCAGUAAUCAGGCUUUUAAAGUUUUUCUCGUAAAAAAAGUAGACCAUACAUACAAUUCUGGUAGCACACAAGUGAAGAAAAAACGUUGAUCGAUCAAAAUGAAAAGAAAAAAAAAGAAAUUGAAUGAAAAGGAGAAAAAAAGGAACAUUGCUCUUAAAAGUUGAAAAUGAAUUUCCUAUUCAGCGACAAAAAUUUAAAAGUGCGAGUAAAAAAUACGAAUUUCGAAUUGAGAGCGAAAUUGAGAGGAAAAAGAUUUUUAUUAUAAUAUUUUGUUAAAAUGAAAUGGUAAGAUAAUUAUUAUGAUUAAAAAUUUAUAUACUAAAAACAAGAUUUACAAUAUGAGUAAAGUCAAUAUUGAAACUAUCGCAAGAAUCGCAACUAUUCGAUCUUUAAAGUAGGUUACCUCGCACUCGAAUAAUAAUUAUUUGAUAAAACAAUGUAGAAUAUUUCAUUAUUAUACAAUCAAAUUAUUUUUUUAAAUUUAAUUUUUGUUACCUAAAUAAUGUUCUUA
Long non-coding RNA from Leptopilina heterotoma, 2074 nucleotides. RefSeq lists it as uncharacterized. The record is from RefSeq and is a predicted model, not a curated record. The transcript is spliced from 6 exons. NCBI's taxonomy places the organism in Eukaryota, Metazoa, Arthropoda, Insecta, Hymenoptera, Figitidae.